GUGAGUAACCUGCCCUUGACUCUGGGAUAACUUCGGGAAACCGUGGCUAAUACCGGAUAUGAGAUGCGACCGCAUGGUCUGUGUCUGGAAAGUUUUUCGGUCAAGGAUGGACUCGCGGCCUAUCAGCUUGUUGGUGAGGUAAUGGCUCACCAAGGCGUCGACGGGUAGCCGGCCUGAGAGGGCGACCGGCCACACUGGGACUGAGACACGGCCCAGACUCCUACGGGAGGCAGCAGUGGGGAAUAUUGCACAAUGGGCGAAAGCCUGAUGCAGCGACGCCGCGUGAGGGAUGAAGGCCUUCGGGUUGUAAACCUCUUUCAGUAGGGAAGAAGCGAAAGUGACGGUACCUGCAGAAGAAGCACCGGCUAACUACGUGCCAGCAGCCGCGGUAAUACGUAGGGUGCAAGCGUUGUCCGGAAUUAUUGGGCGUAAAGAGCUCGUAGGCGGUUUGUCGCGUCUGGUGUGAAAACUCAAGGCUCAACCUUGAGCUUGCAUCGGGUACGGGCAGACUAGAGUGUGGUAGGGGUGACUGGAAUUCCUGGUGUAGCGGUGGAAUGCGCAGAUAUCAGGAGGAACACCGAUGGCGAAGGCAGGUCACUGGGCCACUACUGACGCUGAGGAGCGAAAGCAUGGGGAGCGAACAGGAUUAGAUACCCUGGUAGUCCAUGCCGUAAACGUUGGGCACUAGGUGUGGGGCUCAUUCCACGAGUUCCGCGCCGCAGCUAACGCAUUAAGUGCCCCGCCUGGGGAGUACGGCCGCAAGGCUAAAACUCAAAGGAAUUGACGGUGGCCCGCACAAGCGGCGGAGCAUGCGGAUUAUUUCGAUGCAUCGCNAAGAACCUUACCAAGGCUUGACAUACACCGGAAUCAU
RNAcentral lists this ribosomal RNA (871 nucleotides) under Sanguibacter sp. G03 45-4. RNAcentral's name for it is "bacterial SSU rRNA". It matches the Rfam family "Bacterial small subunit ribosomal RNA", at positions 117 to 999 of the family's 1533-position model. The record is from RNAcentral. Lineage: Bacteria; Bacillati; Actinomycetota; Actinomycetes; Micrococcales; Sanguibacteraceae.